This 480-nucleotide ribosomal RNA is filed under the name uncultured bacterium. RNAcentral's name for it is "partial 16S ribosomal RNA". It matches the Rfam family "Bacterial small subunit ribosomal RNA", at positions 28 to 507 of the family's 1533-position model. The record is from RNAcentral.
GACGAACGCUGGCGGCGUGCUUAACACAUGCAAGUCGAACGAUGAAGCAAAGAAUUGAAGCUUCGGCAGAAAUUCAUUUCGGAUUAGUGGCAGACGGGUGAGUAACGCGUGAGCAACCUACCUCUUACAAAGGGAUAGCCUCGGGAAACCGGGAUUAAUACCAUAUAACAUUGCGACGAAGCAUUUCGAUGCAAUCAAAGCUACGGCGGUAAGAGAUGGGCUCGCGUCCCAUUAACCAGAUGGUGAGGUAACGGCUCACCAUAGUAACGAUGGGUAACCGGCCUGAGAGGGUGAACGGUCACACUGGAACUGAGACACGGUCCAGACUCCUACGGGAGGCAGCAGUGGGGAAUAUUGCACAAUGGAGGGAACUAUGAUGCAGCGACGCCGCGUGAGUGAUGAAGGAAUUCGAUUCGUAAAACUCUGUUCUAUGGGAAGAAAAGGACUGUACCAUAGGAGAAAGCGCCGGCUAAAUACGUG